AUUUGAUCUCAAAUCAGGUAGGACU
This 25-nucleotide ribosomal RNA is filed under the name Tomentella sp. BP96978. RNAcentral's name for it is "partial 28S ribosomal RNA". Lineage: Eukaryota; Fungi; Basidiomycota; Agaricomycetes; Thelephorales; Thelephoraceae. The record is from RNAcentral.